Molecule: long non-coding RNA, 274 nt
Organism: Tribolium castaneum (red flour beetle)
Lineage: Eukaryota; Metazoa; Arthropoda; Insecta; Coleoptera; Tenebrionidae
Exons: 2
Source: RefSeq, a predicted model, not a curated record
UGCUGAGCAAACCCCAAUGACAAGUAAUCAAGACCCACAAAAGAAAAUUGACGAAAACACAGAAGACCUAAACAAAGCUUUAAAAGAAUCAGAAGAGGACAAAUCGGAAAAUAACAAAACUCUGAAUGAUGAUAAGAAGGAGGAAAAAGAAAGUUCGAGCAAGUAAGGAGAAAAAGUUAAGUGAUGUUAAAUUUUACAUUAAAAGGAUAAUAAAGUGUUAUAAGAACUGGAUGUAAAGAUUGAUCUAAUUGCUGAAUAGACCAUUCCUGGUUGG